Molecule: ribosomal RNA, 345 nt
Filed under: uncultured bacterium
Lineage: Bacteria
Description: bacterial SSU rRNA
Rfam family: Bacterial small subunit ribosomal RNA
Source: RNAcentral
GGGCCCGCACAAGCGGUGGAGUAUGUGGUUUAAUUCGAUGCAACGCGAAGAACCUUACCAGGGUUUGACAUCCUGCGAAUUUCUUGGAAACGAGAAAGUGCCUUCGGGAACGCAGUGACAGGUGGUGCAUGGCUGUCGUCAGCUCGUGUCGUGAGAUGUUGGUUAAGUCCCGCAACGAGCGCAACCCACGUCUUUAGUUGCCAGCAUUUAGUUGGGCACUCUAGAGAGACUGCCGGUGAUAAACCGGAGGAAGGUGUGGAUGACGUCAAGUCAUCAUGCCCCUUACAUCCUGGGCUACACACGUACUACAAUGCUACGGACAAAGGGCAGCAAGUUCGCGAGGAC